RNAcentral lists this ribosomal RNA (406 nucleotides) under uncultured bacterium. RNAcentral describes it as "partial 16S ribosomal RNA". It matches the Rfam family "Bacterial small subunit ribosomal RNA", at positions 30 to 526 of the family's 1533-position model. The record is from RNAcentral.
AUUGAACGCUGGCGGCAGGCUUAACACAUGCAAGUCGAGCCAACGGAGGACGGGUGAGUAAUGUCUGGGACACUGCCUGAUGGAGGGGGAUAACUACUGGAAACGGUAGCUAAUACCGCAUACCAUCAGAUGUGCCCCGAUGUGAUUAGCUUGUAGGUGGGGUAAUGGCUCACCUAGGCGACGAUCCCUAGCUGGUCUGCGAGGAUGACCAGCCACACUGUAACUGAGACACGGUCCAGACUCCUCCGGGGGGAAGCAGUGGGGAAUAUUGCACAAUGGGGGCAAGCCUGAUGCAGCCAUCCGGCGUGUAGUAAGAAGGCCUUCGGGUUGUAAAGUACUUUCAGCGGGGAGGCGUUACCCGCAGAAGAAGCACCGGCUAACUCCGUGCCAGCAGCCGCGGUAAUAC